This 424-nucleotide unclassified non-coding RNA is filed under the name soil metagenome. RNAcentral describes it as "partial contains 5.8S ribosomal RNA, internal transcribed spacer 2, and large subunit ribosomal RNA". The stretch from base 4 to 119 matches the Rfam family "5.8S ribosomal RNA", at positions 39 to 154 of the family's 154-position model. The record is from RNAcentral.
GAUAAGAACGCAGCGAAAUGCGAUAAGUAGUGUGAAUUGCAGAAUUCCGUGAAUCAUCGAAUCUUUGAACGCACAUUGCGCCUUCUGGUAUUCCGGAAGGCAUGCCUGUUCGAGAGUCAUUAACAACCGUUUCGAUCCCUUUCUUUCAGAAAUUACAAAGAGGAAAAGGGUUUGGUUAUGGUGGAGGAGGGAAAGGGAGCGUUUAGCCUGUAAAAAAAGAGGCUGUGUUCCGCCUCCCCCCCAAAAUUGUACAGGCGGUCGUGUGCGCCCACGCAUCGAGGUGUUGUAAAAGCUGCCACGGCACUUUUCACCUGUGCAGUGCGAGAUUGGCCAGCCGGUUUAAAAACCCCUCCAAACAAUCAAAGGUUGACCUCGGAUCAGGUAGGGAUACCCGCUGAACUUAAGCAUAUCAAUAAGCGGAGGA